CAACAAAAGGGUUUGAUCCUGGCUCAGAACGAACGCUGGCGGCGUGGAUCAGGCAUGCAAGUCGCACGAGAAAGUACCUUCGGGUA
RNAcentral lists this ribosomal RNA (86 nucleotides) under Planctomycetota bacterium. RNAcentral's name for it is "partial 16S ribosomal RNA". It matches the Rfam family "Bacterial small subunit ribosomal RNA", at positions 1 to 86 of the family's 1533-position model. Lineage: Bacteria; Pseudomonadati; Planctomycetota. The record is from RNAcentral.